RNAcentral lists this ribosomal RNA (980 nucleotides) under Enterococcus faecium. Its description in RNAcentral is "partial 23S ribosomal RNA". It matches the Rfam family "Bacterial large subunit ribosomal RNA", at positions 12 to 993 of the family's 2925-position model. The record is from RNAcentral. Lineage: Bacteria; Bacillati; Bacillota; Bacilli; Lactobacillales; Enterococcaceae.
UAAGGGCGCACGGUGGAUGCCUUGGCACUAGGAGCCGAUGAAGGACGGGACUAACACCGAUAUGCUUUGGGGAGCUGUACGUAAGCUAUGAUCCAGAGAUUUCCGAAUGGGGGAACCCAACAUCUUUAAUAGGAUGUUACGAUUGUGUGAAUACAUAGCACAUUCGAGGUAGACGCAGAGAACUGAAACAUCUAAGUACCUGCAGGAAGAGAAAGAAAAUUCGAUUCCCUGAGUAGCGGCGAGCGAAACGGGAAAAGCCCAAACCAGCAAGCUUGCUUGUUGGGGUUGUAGGACUCCAAUAUGGUAGUUCUUUCAGAUAGUCGAAUGACUUGGAAAAGUCAGUCAAAGAGGGUAAAAACCCCGUAGACGAAAUGUGGAAGACACCUAGGAGGAUCCUGAGUACGGCGGAACACGAGAAAUUCCGUCGGAAUCCGGGAGGACCAUCUCCCAAGGCUAAAUACUCCCUAGUGACCGAUAGUGAACCAGUACCGUGAGGGAAAGGUGAAAAGCACCCCGGAAGGGGAGUGAAAUAGAACCUGAAACCGUGUGCCUACAACAAGUCAAAGCCCGUUAAUGGGUGAUGGCGUGCCUUUUGUAGAAUGAACCGGCGAGUUACGAUUGCAUGCGAGGUUAAGUUGAAGAGACGGAGCCGCAGCGAAAGCGAGUCUGAAUAGGGCGUUUGAGUAUGUAGUCGUAGACCCGAAACCAUGUGAUCUACCCAUGUCCAGGUUGAAGGUGCGGUAAAACGCACUGGAGGACCGAACCCACGUACGUUGAAAAGUGCGGGGAUGAGGUGUGGGUAGCGGAGAAAUUCCAAACGAACUUGGAGAUAGCUGGUUCUCUCCGAAAUAGCUUUAGGGCUAGCCUCGGAAUUGAGAAUGAUGGAGGUAGAGCACUGUUUGGACUAGGGGCCCAUCUCGGGUUACCGAAUUCAGAUAAACUCCGAAUGCCAUUCAUUCAUAUCCGGGAGUCAGACUGUG